GGUCUGGUGGUCUAGUGGUAUGAUUCUCGCUUAGGGUACACCCUACAGCAAAUUGCGAGAGGUCCCGGGUUCAAUCCCCGGCCAGACCC
RNAcentral lists this transfer RNA (89 nucleotides) under Xylaria grammica. RNAcentral's name for it is "tRNA-Pro". It matches the Rfam family "tRNA". Rfam says of the family: Transfer RNA (tRNA) molecules are approximately 80 nucleotides in length. Their secondary structure includes four short double-helical elements and three loops (D, anti-codon, and T loops). Lineage: Eukaryota; Fungi; Ascomycota; Sordariomycetes; Xylariales; Xylariaceae. The record is from RNAcentral.